This 72-nucleotide transfer RNA is filed under the name Salmo salar (Atlantic salmon). It matches the Rfam family "tRNA". From Rfam's summary of the family: Transfer RNA (tRNA) molecules are approximately 80 nucleotides in length. The record is from Rfam by way of RNAcentral. Lineage: Eukaryota; Metazoa; Chordata; Actinopteri; Salmoniformes; Salmonidae.
CUCCCUGUAGCUCAGUUGGUAGAGCAUGGUGUUUGCAAUGCCAGGGUUGUGGGUUCGAUUCCCACGGGGGGC